Molecule: long non-coding RNA, 1448 nt
Organism: Epinephelus fuscoguttatus (brown-marbled grouper)
Lineage: Eukaryota; Metazoa; Chordata; Actinopteri; Perciformes; Serranidae
Exons: 3
Source: RefSeq, a predicted model, not a curated record
ACAAGAUGAAUGCAUUAUGAAUUUCUGUACUCCAGCAGAUAUACAAAGUAAUGAUAUUGUCACCUCUGCAGCCUGUCUUGAUUUACACAGUUCACCUUUAUUUUUGUCUAAUUCAGUGGUGCACCCAUGGUGACCCCUUGCCCUCCUGAUACAAUUGCCUGCCCUCCCUGGCAAAAAUAAUUGAAGGCUGAUAUAACUGUCUUAAAAGCCUGUGGCAUGGUAAUUUUUUUAAGCUAGCACAAAGGUAGUAAAGUCUUGUCAAACUAGACAACCUAAGACAUCCAUUGGUAUUAACCAUGUUAGCAUAGCUUGUCUCCUCACAAUAUUUGAAUGAAAGUGGGUGACGUGGGUACCCACGAGUCUCCCCUAAACUUAAGAAGGCUCGUUCCCAGGAAAUUUUUUGUUCCUUACAAUCAAUGUACUCAUUCAAAUUAAAGCCACAUAUUUGUCUUUUAAAGAAAAAGGACAUCCAGCCUAUUUAAAGAACGAUUAAUAGCCUAAGAUGUGUAUAUAUACAAGACACAUUAAAACAGGAGAAACCAAAGUGUAUCAGUUUGUAGUAGAGAUGGGGACUCGAGUCAUUGUGACUUGGACUCGAGUCGACUCAAGUCGCUGUUUUGAUGACUUGUGACUUGACUUGACAAAAAAUAAAAGACUUGAGACUUGACUCAGAUUUGGAAGUUAAAGACUCGGGACUUGACUUGACUUGAAUGACUUGAGUGUUAUUCACAUCAUGUUUUCGGUUAGAAUAUAAAAUUAAUAAAUUAAUUUAAAAAAUAAUGUCGAUUACCGGGUAGGAGCGCAGGCUGAGAAUGGCAUUGUCAUGAUUGGAUCACUACCCUGUCAAUCAGUCAUGCCCUCUCUACGUACCUUACGUGUUUAUUGGAGAAACAGGCCCUCUUAUAUCAGAUAGGCAUCUACAUGUCAGCGGGAGGGGUACCAAGAGUCAUCAUCUUUGGCUUUCGGAAUUACCAUUAUUACGGCAAAAGACGAACAGCACAGUGCAAGACAUGCGGCAUAAACAUCUCGGACAGUCAGGCGACAACUUCAAACUUUGUUCGUCAUUUGAAGAGCCAUUCUGCCCAAGCCGUUCAAGUUUCCUUGGGGUGGAGAUGAUGAUGAUGAUCUCAGUGCGUUAGCAGGAUCCUGCAGCUGACAGAUGAAAACCUUAAAAAACAAACACAACUGCAAGUGACACCCUGAUGAAGUUCCUCUCUCAUGUGCCAACCUGCUCGGGAAUAAAAGAUAACUGGAAAAUAUGGAGCCAUUAAAGAGAACAAAGGAAAGUGCAUGAGACGACAUGACAUCUUCACCUUCACCACUAAUGUAACAAGCAGAUGUAGCCAAAUAACUCCCCGAAGUCCAUUUAUUUACCUUUGCAAAUGCAAACAGUUACCAGCAUCUCUGAUGAACGGGUAAAACAAACGUGUCUAUCAGUCAACAGCCUA